Molecule: ribosomal RNA, 465 nt
Filed under: uncultured bacterium
Lineage: Bacteria
Description: partial 16S ribosomal RNA
Rfam family: Bacterial small subunit ribosomal RNA
Source: RNAcentral
CCUACGGGGGGCAGCAGUGGGGAAUAUUGCGCAAUGGGCGAAAGCCUGACGCAGCGACGCCGCGUGAGGGAUGAAGGUCUUCGGAUCGUAAACCUCUGUCAGCAGGGAAGAACGGUCACUGUGCUAAUCAGCAGUGAAUUGACGGUACCUGCAAAGGAAGCACCGGCUAACUCCGUGCCAGCAGCCGCGGGAAUACGGAGGGUGCGAGCGUUAAUCGGAAUUACUGGGCGUAAAGCGCUCGUAGGCGGUAUGUCAAGUCAAGGGUGAAAUCCCCGCGCUCAACGUGGGAACUGCCUUUGAAACUGGCAAACUGGAGUGUGUGAGAGGAUAGUGGAAUUCCAGGUGUAGGAGUGAAAUCCGUAGAUAUCUGGAGGAACAUCAGUGGCGAAGGCGACUAUCUGGAACAUAACUGACGCUGAGGAGCGAAAGCGUGGGUAGCAAACAGGAUUAGAUACCCCAGUAGUC